RNAcentral lists this transfer RNA (71 nucleotides) under Ovis aries (sheep). It matches the Rfam family "tRNA". From Rfam's summary of the family: Transfer RNA (tRNA) molecules are approximately 80 nucleotides in length. Their secondary structure includes four short double-helical elements and three loops (D, anti-codon, and T loops). Lineage: Eukaryota; Metazoa; Chordata; Mammalia; Artiodactyla; Bovidae. The record is from Rfam by way of RNAcentral.
UCCCGGCUGGCUCAGUGGUAAAGAAUCUGCCUGCAAAGGAGGAGAUGCAGGUUCAAGCCCUGGGUUGGGAA